CGUGUAGCCGGGCCUUUAAGUCAGAUGUGAAAUCCGCGGGCUUAACCCGCGAACUGCAUUUGAAACUGAGGGUCUUGAGUAUCGGAGAGGUAAUCGGAAUUCCUAGUGUAGCGGUGAAAUGCGUAGAUAUUAGGAAGAACACCAGUGGCGAAGGCGGAUUACUGGACGACAACUGACGGUGAGGCGCGAAAGCGUGGGGAGGCAAAACA
This 209-nucleotide ribosomal RNA is filed under the name uncultured bacterium. RNAcentral's name for it is "partial 16S ribosomal RNA". It matches the Rfam family "Bacterial small subunit ribosomal RNA", at positions 568 to 776 of the family's 1533-position model. The record is from RNAcentral.